RNAcentral lists this ribosomal RNA (440 nucleotides) under uncultured bacterium. Its description in RNAcentral is "partial 16S ribosomal RNA". It matches the Rfam family "Bacterial small subunit ribosomal RNA", at positions 338 to 795 of the family's 1533-position model. The record is from RNAcentral.
CCUACGGGAGGCAGCAGUGGGGGAUAUUGCACAAUGGGGGGAACCCUGAUGCAGCGACGCCGCGUGGGUGAAGAAGCGCCUCGGCGCGUAAAGCCCUGUCAGCAGGGAAGAAAAUGACGGUACCUGAAGAAGAAGCCCCGGCUAACUACGUGCCAGCAGCCGCGGUAAUACGUAGGGGGCAAGCGUUAUCCGGAUUUACUGGGUGUAACGGGGGCGCAGACGGCGAUGCAAGCCAGGAGUGAAAGCCCGGGGCCCAACCCCGGGACUGCUCUUGGAACUGCGUGGCUGGAGUGCAGGAGGGGAAGGCGGAAUUCCUGGUGUAGCGGUGAAAUGCGUAGAUAGCAGGAGGAACACCGGUGGCGAAGGCGGCCUGCUGGACUGCAACUGACGUUGAGGCCCGAAAGCGUGGGGAGCAAACAGGAUUAGAUACCCCAGUAGUC